Molecule: ribosomal RNA, 496 nt
Filed under: uncultured bacterium
Lineage: Bacteria
Description: partial 16S ribosomal RNA
Rfam family: Bacterial small subunit ribosomal RNA
Source: RNAcentral
AUGAACGCUGGCGGCGUGCCUAAUACCUGCAAGUCGAGCGAACAGAUGAGGAGCUUGCUCCUCUGACGUUAGCGGCGGACGGGUGGGUAACACGUGGAUAACCUACCUAUAAGACUGGGAUAACUUCGGGAAACCGGAGCUAAUACCGGAUAAUAUAUUGAACCGCAUGGUUCAAUAGUGAAAGACGGUUUUGCUGUCACUUAUAGAUGGAUCCGCCCCGCAUUAGCUAGUUGGUAAGGUAACGGCUUACCAAGGCAACGAUGCGUAGCCGACCUGAGAGGGUGAUCGGCCACACUGGAACUGAGACACGGUCCAGACUCCUACGGGAGGCAGCAGUAGGGAAUCUUCCGCAAUGGGCGAAAGCUUGACGGAGCAACGCCGCAUGAGUGAUGAAGGUCUUCGGAUCGUAAAACUCUGUUAUUAGGGAAGAACAAAUGUGUAAGUAACUAUGCACGUCUUGACGGUACCUAAUCAGAAAGCCACGGCUAACUACGUG